Molecule: ribosomal RNA, 544 nt
Filed under: uncultured bacterium
Lineage: Bacteria
Description: bacterial SSU rRNA
Rfam family: Bacterial small subunit ribosomal RNA
Source: RNAcentral
CCGUUAACCUGGCCUUGACAUACUAAGAACUUUCCAGAGAUGGAUUGGUGCCUUCGGGAACUUAGAUACAGGUGCUGCAUGGCUGUCGUCAGCUCGUGUCGUGAGAUGUUGGGUUAAGUCCCGCAACGAGCGCAACCCUUUUCCUUAUUUGCCAGCGGGUUAAGCCGGGAACUUUAAGGAUACUGCCAGUGACAAACUGGAGGAAGGCGGGGACGACGUCAAGUCAUCAUGGCCCUUACGGCCAGGGCUACACACGUGCUACAAUGGUCGGUACAAAGGGUUGCUACCUCGCGAGAGGAUGGCUAAUCUCAAAAAGCCGAUCGUAGUCCGGAUCGCAGUCUGCAACUCGACUGCGUGAAGUCGGAAUCGCUAGUAAUCGCGGAUCAGAAUGCCGCGGUGAAUACGUUCCCGGGCCUUGUACACACCGCCCGUCACACCAUGGGAGUUUGUUGCACCAGAAGUAGGUAGUCUAACCGCAAGGAGGACGCUUACCACGGUGUGGCCGAUGACUGGGGUGAAGUCGUAACAAGGUAAGCGUAGAUGA